AUGUGUUUAGGGACAUUCUUUGGUCAUAUAAUGCUCUGUGAAAUACUACAUUUUUUCAGGUAUAUUAAAAAGUACACUGAUACUGUUACUGGGGAGGCCCCUGCUAUAAGACAUCCUCUGGUCGCUGCAGCGAGCGGAUGUUCUCGCAGUCUCAGGGGCUCAGGCUGCCCGCUGGCACCUGACAGGCAGGACUCAGGGCGCGAAUGUAAUACGUCAUGCGGAAGUAGAUCCGCUAUAACUUCGACGUUACUUCCGUUCGCCGCCUCUCUCUCCGCGGCGACCUCAUGGCAACGCAGCGCGUUCACUUGCUCUCCCACUACUCGGACGUGAUGUCUGGUUGUUAAGCUGAUCAAGGAUGAGCUGAAGGUCCUUUCUGCAGGAACCCAGUUGGACUUCCAGAUGUCUUUGUCCACGCAUGAAGAAAGCCUGUGAGUCUUGACGCUGAAAAAAAGUUUGUUGAAUCAAACGCAAAAGAGAACGAUUUUAUUUAAAGAGGGAUUUCUUAAACUGAUUUACAGGCUAAUCGUGUAGUGGUACGGUGUGAAAAAUGGCUUCUGCUCCUGCACAAGUUUGAGACUUUACCUUAAACAGUCUACUUGUAGGUCCUUGCUUGAACUGUUUAUUCUAAUGUUUGUGGUAUGUAAUUUGCGUGUGUUUUUCCCUCCAGGAUUGUGCUGUAACCGGAUGAAGACCCGUUGACCGCAGCAGGGUCCAUUGUGGCCGACAAGGAACUGGUUAGUUAAUGAAAAAUAAGCAAAUUUGAGUCAUAUUUAAGUAGUGCCAAAUUAGAAGUUGCAACUAAACUACUAAAUGAAGUACACAUGUGUCUUGCUGCUAGAGCCUCAGUUGGGUCAAAAAUAACCACUAUUUUGUUGGUGGAAAAUGGUGAACCAUUGAAAUUGCCGAUAUCAAAUGAAUCGCUUUAUUUAAGAUGUGAACUAUUUAAGUUGUUAUGUUGUGGAAAGUUGGGGGGGGGGGGGACCAUUGCUUUUGUUGGCAUAUUGAUGUCGUUCUGAUAAAAGAACCUGACACUUUUUAAUCUGUCACUCCUAUUUUCUACUUCCAAUACAACAGCUUUGGUUGAGUGACUUUCUCUUGUGCAUUUGUACUACUAGACUAUUUUAGCGUUUUGCUAAAUAUUACUGCACUUAAUGUUUACUCAACGCAGGGCUUAUUUCAUUAAACUUCAACAUACAGCACACAAUUAAAGCCUGGCACCAAUCUUGUGGGUGUUUAGGUGUCGGAAGUGUGCCAGAGUGACUUGGCCGGGUUUUCGCUAACACCAUGAGGACUGCUGUCCCUUGACUGGCGUUUGAUAGUGACCUGAGCCACAUUCAACCUUAUAAAUGCAAAGGGGCACUUCCCCCCUUUGCCUCCUGUAAACAAUUUCUUCUCACGACUCCUUAUUUGACCCGUUGAUGGCAAAAAUGUUUUUUGGAAGAACUAAACAAGCAAAACUUGUCUCUGAACAGGGUUGGCACUCUGGAGACGCAUCUCCAGGUAGCUCAUCUGGUUUGACUUUACUUCCAGAGGUGAGUGGUGUGAAACCAGGAUUUUAUUUAUAUAGCGCUUUAAAAAGCACUAAAAAAUGUAACUUAAAAACAAUGACAAUUAAUGACUUCACUAGAAGAAAUGCAGGUACUGGUACUUUGUUUAAAAGCUGUGUAUAUUUCUUGAUAGAGAAGUGAGUUUGUAGACUUAAUACAUUUUGGGCAGAGAAUCAACCAAUAGUUGGCAGAUUACUAACUUUGCAUUAGAGUAAAUGUUGGUAACUAAGAAGGAUCACUGAAAGGAAAAGUACAGGGCACCAGUUCAUUUUUGACCAUUUACUACUUGGCUGUUAAAUGAGAAAUCCUGCCUUCGCCCAAUUGUUACAUAGCUUUGUUUUAAAUGUUAAGAUCCUACAGUAUUGUACACUCUCAGAGCUAGUUUCUUUAGAAGCUGCCAGAGGAUAAAUGUCAAAAUUAACCAAGCAUUCUAAUAAAAUAUUUUCACUUAUUUCUGUUCUAGUGUGCGCUCGAGUACCCAGACUGCUCCUGAAGGCCAUUCUGCAGACCUACAAUGAGGAUGCAAGAGCUCUGACUGGCCCGAUCAAAACAUAAGACACCUGAACAUAAUUUUGCUGAGAAAUCAAUAAAGUUGGCUGGUUAUUCAUACAUUGUUGUGUCAAUCUGCUUAAAAUUCAAAUAUUCAUUUAGCCAGUCCUCACAAAGCAAUGGAUAAAGGAUUGUAGUGGCAAUUUAUCCUUGUGCGUGAUACUCUUGUGUCAAAGGGCCACUGAUUCACCACAGGUUUGUUCUUUUUAUGCAUAAAGAGGGCAGAUGGCACAUGCAGACCUUUGGAAACAUUACAUCAAUACUCUCAUAAUGGAAAAAAACAAUAUCUCGCCCCGGUGCACAGUGGGCUUGUACCUGGCUAUGCCCUUUAAUCUCCAGGUGCCUACAGUAUUACCUAAUUAGUCAAGAAUGACUAUGUAAACCAGAACACGUUUCUUAAUUUAUCUUGCAAAUGCUAUUUAAAUACUAACUACAAAACAAUGGCUCUCAAAGAGAUUACACACUGAAGACACAGCGCACAACAUCAGUGUCAUUACGAAAUAAUUCAUGAAUGGGUCCUGUGCACGCACAUGUACAAAUCUAUCGUGCGUCCUACCUGACAAGUCAAACCAUAACCUCGUGAACAAAUUGUAUAUUUAAUUGUAAAAUUCACACCCCAGAUGGGACUCGAACCCACAAUCCCUGGCUUAGGAGGCCAGUGCCUUAUCCAUUAGGCCACUGGGGCUGAUCAACUAAACUAUCAAUAGUGUAAGAAUAAAUUCAUGUCUCUGUGUUUCAUGGCCGUGGCUUGCAUCGAGGCAGUCAUAAUUAAAAACCGCAUGGCCGCAGCCGUUUAUUUCCAUUCCGUUGCCAAGCAACGAACAAACUACUCUAUAAAGUGCAAUGAAGAAGAGUUGAUUUGUUUCCUGUUGACUUCAAAAUAAAUUUCCUACGAGAGAUGUUUUCUAAAAUCGCCACCGUGUCAGAAACUUUCUGUUUGAAGAUGGCAAUUGCUGCUCAGAUGUUUUCAAAAGAGGGCCGUGGUAGGGACUCUAACCCGAGCAGGUGUUAACUUCCCCACUGCAUUGUCAGAUCCUUUGCUUGUGCCCUUUAAUUUGAAAAUAUGAAAGCGGAAAGAUAAACUAACUACUCCACAUUAAACCCCGAUCAUCCAUUAAUAUCCCGCAGAAAAAGGUGCUUAACGUGUUAACUAUUAUCUUAAGUGCCGUGUUAGUAAGAUGCUUGUAUUUAGUCACAUUAGCUUGAAUAUUGGAUGCCGUUGAGGUUGAAUAGCUAACGGUAGGUGAGGUUAGCUAGCGUACCAGCUAACGUAAACGGUCUGUGUGUCGUUACCUAGGCUAGCGAUAAACAAGUCCUAGCUAGGAGACACCGGUCGACAUGGUAAGUUCGUGUUUCUACAUAUUUCUGAAAUGGCGUCGCAUGGACGACCCGACCAGAUUAUAGUUCUAAGACAACUUAAAGAAACGUAAACGUUUUGUGCCCCGGCAGAUCCUUUCUCGCAUGAAGCCAGCCGUUGGUGCGGAGACGCCGGUGAGCUUCAGUGAGAAGAAGAAGAAGACGAAGGUUCCCCCCCUGGAGGAAUACCUGCAGCAGAGAGACUACCUCGGGGCUUUCACGCUGUUAGAGGUGCCUACACAGGUUUCUGUGUGCUUCACUGUGGCUGAACAACUCCUAAGCCAUUUGUAGAGUUGGAAAAAUGCGCUUUGAAAAAAGCGCGAAUAGAAUCUCACAUGAUUAUUAUUGUUACAAGUAAUGAAUCGUACAGGAGCGGGAUUUC
Molecule: long non-coding RNA, 3834 nt
Organism: Gasterosteus aculeatus (three-spined stickleback)
Lineage: Eukaryota; Metazoa; Chordata; Actinopteri; Perciformes; Gasterosteidae
Source: Ensembl